CAGCCGCCACGGUAAUACGAAGGGUGCAAGCGUUACUCGGAAUUACUGGGCGUAAAGCGUGCGUAGGUGGUGGUUUAAGUCCGUUGUGAAAGCCCUGGGCUCAACCUGGGAAUUGCAGUGGAUACUGGGUCACUAGAGUGUGGUAGAGGAUAGUGGAAUUUCCGGUGUAGCAGUGAAAUGCGUAGAGAUCGGAAGGAACAUCUGUGGCGAAGGCGACUAUCUGGGCCAACACUGACACUGAGGCACGAAAGCGUGGGGAGCAAACAGGAUUAGAUACCCCUGUAGUCCCUGUCUCUUAUAC
RNAcentral lists this ribosomal RNA (301 nucleotides) under uncultured bacterium. RNAcentral's name for it is "partial 16S ribosomal RNA". It matches the Rfam family "Bacterial small subunit ribosomal RNA", at positions 509 to 807 of the family's 1533-position model. The record is from RNAcentral.